This is a long non-coding RNA of Clupea harengus (Atlantic herring), 778 nucleotides long. RefSeq lists it as uncharacterized. NCBI's taxonomy places the organism in Eukaryota, Metazoa, Chordata, Actinopteri, Clupeiformes, Clupeidae. The record is from RefSeq and is a predicted model, not a curated record.
UUUUGGCAAAACCAUAUAACCCUCGGUACGAAGCUCCGGAAGUGCUUCACUUUCGGGACACAAGCUUCGAAGGAAUCAAGACGUUGGUUUGGCCUGAUGGACUUCUCUGCUGCAUCAGCCAACAGUUGGGAAUGGGUCAUCCACAUAAAGAAUGAAGACGUUGGUUUGGCCUGAUGGACUUCUCUGCUGCAUCAGCCCACAGUUGGACAUGGGUCCUCCGCAUAAAGGUACAAAAUUGGCAUCAGCUGUCACACUGGUUGCAGCCCUGAUUCACAAGGGGUAAUUGCAGGAUUAACAGCAUGCCCAACUGGUUCAAGGAGAUCACCAUGGGUUCCUAAGUAAGGCAGCCUGUGGUGGAUGCCUCUGGAUCACCAUUUACGGACCUGGUGAAGGAGCUCUUGGAAUGAAGCCCCCCUGAGCCUUUUGGUGGUUGAUGCCUCAGCAGCCAUGUCUUCAGUUCCUGCACCAUUCGCCCUCUAGGGAGUGCAGAUGGGAGUUGACCAGGGGCUGUGAAUGAGGAAGGUGUCUGCUCUGAGUCCUGGUGUGCGGUAUCUCCACCUUGUCGUUUUCCUCAUGUUGCAGCGUCUGAAUCCUGGUGUGCGGUAUCUCCACCUUGCCGUUUUCCUCAUGUUGCAGGGUCCUGGAGGCUUUGGAAGACUGAGCCCAGGGUGCUGUGGACAUUGUUGCAGUUGAAGAUGAGCAUCAGCCUCGGCCUGAACGUUGGACAUUCUGGUGUGAAAUGCCCAGACUCUUUAUGAAAUAAAAACAUUUGAACUUA